AGUGAACGCUGGCGGUAGGCCUAACGCAUGCAAGUCGAACGGCAGCACAGUAAGAGCUUGCUCUUACGGGUGGCGAGUGGCGGACGGGUGAGGAAUACAUCGGAAUCUACUUUUUCGUGGGGGAUAACGUAGGGAAACUUACGCUAAUACCGCAUACGACCUACGGGUGAAAGCAGGGGAUCUUCGGACCUUGCGCGAUUGAAUGAGCCGAUGUCGGAUUAGCUAGUUGGCGGGGUAAAGGCCCACCAAGGCGACGAUCCGUAGCUGGUCUGGGAGGAUGAUCAGCCACACUGGAACUGAGACACGGUCCAGACUCCUACGGGAGGCAGCAGUGGGGAAUAUUGGACAAUGGGCGCAAGCCUGAUCCAGCCAUACCGCGUGGGUGAAGAAGGCCUUCGGGUUGUAAAGCCCUUUUGUUGGGAAAGAAAAGCAGCAGGUUAAUACCCCGCUGUUCUGACGGUACCCAAAGAAUAAGCACCGGCUAACUUCGUG
RNAcentral lists this ribosomal RNA (492 nucleotides) under uncultured bacterium. RNAcentral's name for it is "partial 16S ribosomal RNA". It matches the Rfam family "Bacterial small subunit ribosomal RNA", at positions 29 to 507 of the family's 1533-position model. The record is from RNAcentral.